RNAcentral lists this ribosomal RNA (301 nucleotides) under uncultured bacterium. RNAcentral's name for it is "partial 16S ribosomal RNA". It matches the Rfam family "Bacterial small subunit ribosomal RNA", at positions 509 to 807 of the family's 1533-position model. The record is from RNAcentral.
CAGUCGCCGCGGGAAUACGAAGGGUGCAAGCGUUAAUCGGAAUUACUGGGCGUAAAGCGUGCGUAGGCGGUGAGUUAAGUCUGCUGUGAAAUCCCCGGGCUCAACCUGGGAAUGGCAGUGGAUACUGGCUCGCUAGAGUGUGUCAGAGGAUGGUGGAAUUCCCGGUGUAGCGGUGAAAUGCGUAGAGAUCGGGAGGAACACCGAUGGCGAAGGCAGCCCCCUGGGCCAAUACUGACGCUCAUGCACGAAAGCGUGGGGAGCAAACAGGAUUAGAUACCCGUGUAGUCCCUGUCUCUUAUAC